UGCAGUCGACGGGGUAUCAGGGUACUAAUCCCCCAAGUACCUAGUGGCGAAUGGGUGCGUAAUCCGUGAGCGCCCUACCCCGGAGCUUGGAAUAACACCGGGAAACCGGUGCUAAUACCCAAUACUCUCAUUCGGCCGGAUGACUGAAUGACGAAAGAUUUAUCACUCUGGGAAGGGCUCACGGCCUAUCUGCUUGUUGGUGAGGUAACGGCUCACACAAGCUACGACGGGUAGCUGGUCUGAGAGGACGAUCAGCCAACCUGGGACUGAGACACGGUCCAGACUCCUACGGGAGGCAGCAGUGGGGAAUAUUGCGCACUGGGCGAAAGCCUGACGCAGCAACGCCGCGUGGAGGAUGAAGGCUUUCGGGUUGUAAACUCCUUUCAGCAGGGACGAAACUGACGGUACCUGCAGAAGAAGCCCCGGCUAACUACGUGCCACCAGCUGCGGUGAGACGUAGGGGGCAAGCGUUGUCCGGAUUUAUUGGGCGUAAAGAGCUCGUAGGCGGCUUGGCAAGUCGGAUGUGAAAUCUCCAGGCUUAACCUGGAGUCGCCAUCCGAUACUGCUAUGGCUAGAGUCCGGUAGAGGAUCGUGGAAUUCCUGGUGUAGCGGUGAAAUGCGCAGAUAUCA
This 630-nucleotide ribosomal RNA is filed under the name uncultured bacterium. RNAcentral's name for it is "bacterial SSU rRNA". It matches the Rfam family "Bacterial small subunit ribosomal RNA", at positions 56 to 699 of the family's 1533-position model. The record is from RNAcentral.